CGUGAUGACCUGUCACUAGGGGGUGUGGUCAUGUGUGAUGAUGUCAUCAGCGCCAGCAUAUGAAGGUGAAGCCGUUGCUAUGACGUGAUGACCCGUCACUAGGGGGUGUGGUCAUGUGUGAUGAUGUCAUCAGCGCCAGCAUAUGAAGGUGAAGCCGUUGCUAUGACGUGAUGACCCGUCACUAGGGGGUGUGGUCAUGUGUGAUGAUGUCAUCAGCGCCAGCAUAUGAAGGUGAAGCCGUUGCUAUGACGUGAUGACCCGUCACUAGGGGGUGUGGUCAUGUGUGAUGAUGUCAUCAGCGCCAGCAUAUGAAGGUGAAGCCGUUGCUAUGACGUGAUGACCCGUCACUAGGGGGUGUGGUCAUGUGUGAUGAUGUCAUCAGCGCCAGCAUAUGAAGGUGAAGCCGUUGCUAUGACGCGAUGCCCCGUCACUAGGGGGUGUGGUCAUGUGUGAUGA
Erpetoichthys calabaricus (reedfish) is the source of this 456-nucleotide long non-coding RNA. RefSeq lists it as uncharacterized. NCBI's taxonomy places the organism in Eukaryota, Metazoa, Chordata, Cladistia, Polypteriformes, Polypteridae. The record is from RefSeq and is a predicted model, not a curated record. The transcript has 3 exons.